AGAAAAGUAAGCUAAAUUAAGCUAAUGGAUUCAUACUCCAUUAAUAGAGAUAGAAUUCUCUCUUCUCUA
This 69-nucleotide transfer RNA is filed under the name Salganea incerta. Its description in RNAcentral is "tRNA-Met". Lineage: Eukaryota; Metazoa; Arthropoda; Insecta; Blattodea; Blaberidae. The record is from RNAcentral.